CCAAGAUAGCUAGGACUCCUGGUGCUCAAUGAACUCUUCUUUCUCUGGAAAAAGAAAGGGAGGUCACUGGAGAGGUCCACUGCAAACAAAGUCUUUUCCUUUAGCAACAUGAAGUGGGAUUUGGCUCUUCUAUCUCCGCUCUCAAAGCUAGAAGCCAAAAGCACCUAAAGGUUGAAGAAAAUUCAAAGACCGGAGGGCAUCUCUCUCUCUCAUUCUCACCAAUUCCAUCCCACUCCUCACACAGGACAGAGAAUUCUUCUCCAUCGAUAAAGAGAGUUCCAUACCAAUGGGCUUCGGGAAUAAGGACAGUAUUACGGACUGGACCUUAGGAUUCACUACUAGAGAGAAUUCACUGGAUUAUUACCAAUGGGAGAAAUAGGAAGGAAGAACUAGUGAUAGUGCUGGGGAAAAAAAGGAACAAAAGAUCACUGGAACAUUUUUAAAGAUGCUUGGGAAAGAACAGAAGGCAAUUCUGAUGGAA
Molecule: non-coding RNA, 481 nt
Organism: Phascolarctos cinereus (koala)
Lineage: Eukaryota; Metazoa; Chordata; Mammalia; Diprotodontia; Phascolarctidae
Source: RefSeq, a predicted model, not a curated record